RNAcentral lists this unclassified non-coding RNA (309 nucleotides) under uncultured Verrucaria. Its description in RNAcentral is "sequence contains ITS1". The stretch from base 1 to 105 matches the Rfam family "5.8S ribosomal RNA", at positions 50 to 154 of the family's 154-position model. Lineage: Eukaryota; Fungi; Ascomycota; Eurotiomycetes; Verrucariales; Verrucariaceae. The record is from RNAcentral.
GAAAUGCGAUAAGUAAUGCGAAUUGCAGAAUUCCGUGAGUCAUCGAAUCUUUGAACGCACAUUGCGCCCUUUGGUAUUCCGAAGGGCAUGCCUAUUCGAGCGUCAUUAUCAACCCUCAAGUCUAACUUGGUGUUGGGAGUUUGAAGGAAUUUUUCUUCUCUCCUCAAAGAUAAUGACCGAGAUUUGAACUGGUUUAAUACACCGAGCUGAUUUCAGCAGUGUUGAACUUUCGUUUUUGUCGACGUCUGAAUUUAUUUAUUCUUUUUUCAGGUUGACCUCGAAUUAGGUAGGAAUACCCGCUGAACUUAA